This 462-nucleotide ribosomal RNA is filed under the name uncultured bacterium. RNAcentral describes it as "partial 16S ribosomal RNA". It matches the Rfam family "Bacterial small subunit ribosomal RNA", at positions 28 to 507 of the family's 1533-position model. The record is from RNAcentral.
GACGAACGCUGGCGGCGUGCUUAACACAUGCAAGUCGAACGGAGAGGCCCUUCGGGGUACUCGAGUGGCGAACGGGUGAGUAACACGUGGGUGAUCUGCCCUGCACUUUGGGAUAAGCCUGGGAAACUGGGUCUAAUACCGAAUAGGACCACGCGCUUCAUGGUGUGUGGUGGAAAGCUUUUGCGGUGUGGGAUGGGCCCGCGGCCUAUCAGCUUGUUGGUGGGGUAAUGGCCUACCAAGGCGACGACGGGUAGCCGGCCUGAGAGGGUGACCGGCCACACUGGGACUGAGAUACGGCCCAGACUCCUACGGGAGGCAGCAGUGGGGAAUAUUGCACAAUGGGCGCAAGCCUGAUGCAGCGACGCCGCGUGAGGGAUGACGGCCUUCGGGUUGUAAACCUCUUUCAAUAGGGACGAAGCGCAAGUGACGGUACCUAUAGAAGAAGCACCGGCCAACUACGUG